GAUCCUGGCUCAGGAUGAACGCUGGCGGCGUGCCUAACACAUGCAAGUCGAACGAAGCUUGACGGAUGAUUUCUUCGGAAUGAAACCAGAUAUGACUUAGUGGCGGACGGGUGAGUAACACGUGAGCAACCUGCCGUUUCAGAGGGGGAUAACGGCUGGAAACGGUCGCUAAUACCGCAUGACGUGUUCGGAUGGCAUCAUCUGAACAUCAAAAGAUUUAUCGCUGAAAGAUGGG
RNAcentral lists this ribosomal RNA (235 nucleotides) under uncultured bacterium. RNAcentral's name for it is "partial 16S ribosomal RNA". It matches the Rfam family "Bacterial small subunit ribosomal RNA", at positions 15 to 229 of the family's 1533-position model. The record is from RNAcentral.